ACCUACGGGGCGCAGCAGUGAGGAAUAUUGGUCAAUGGGCGGAAGCCUGAACCAGCCAAGUCGCGUGAGGGAAUAAGGCCCUACGGGUCGUAAACCUCUUUUGCCGGGGAGCAAGGGCCGGGACGAGUCCCGGUCCGAAGAGUACCCGGAGAAAAAGCAUCGGCUAACUCCGUGCCAGCAGCCGCGGUAAUACGUAGGAUCCGAGCGUUAUCCGGACUUAUUGGGUUUAAAGGGAGCGUAGAUGGGUUGUUAAGUCAGUUGUGAAAGGUUGCGGCUCAACCGUAAAAUUGCAAUUGAUACUGGCG
RNAcentral lists this ribosomal RNA (305 nucleotides) under uncultured bacterium. RNAcentral's name for it is "bacterial SSU rRNA". It matches the Rfam family "Bacterial small subunit ribosomal RNA", at positions 337 to 638 of the family's 1533-position model. The record is from RNAcentral.